RNAcentral lists this ribosomal RNA (459 nucleotides) under uncultured bacterium. Its description in RNAcentral is "partial 16S ribosomal RNA". It matches the Rfam family "Bacterial small subunit ribosomal RNA", at positions 338 to 795 of the family's 1533-position model. The record is from RNAcentral.
CCUACGGGAGGCAGCAGUGAGGAAUAUUGGUCAAUGGCCGAGAGGCUGAACCAGCCAAGUCGCGUGAGGGAAGACGGCCCUACGGGUUGUAAACCUCUUUUGUCGGGGAGCAAAGCGAGUCACGUGUGAAUCAUUGAGAGUACCCGAAGAAAAAGCAUCGGCUAACUCCGUCCCAGCAGCCGCGGUAAUACGGAGGAUGCGAGCGUUAUCCGGAUUUAUUUGGUUUAAGGGGUGCGCAGGCGGAGGUGCAAGUCAGCGGUCAAAUUGCGGGGCUCAACCCCGUACUGCCGUUGAAACUGCAUCCCUUGAGUGCGCGAGAGGUAUGCGGAAUGCGUGGUGUAGCGGUGAAAUGCAUAGAUAUCACGCAGAACUCCGAUUGCGAAGGCAGCAUACCGGCGCGCAACUGACGCUCAUGCACGAAAGCGUGGGUAUCGAACAGGAUUAGAUACCCGUGUAGUC